RNAcentral lists this ribosomal RNA (499 nucleotides) under uncultured bacterium. RNAcentral describes it as "partial 16S ribosomal RNA". It matches the Rfam family "Bacterial small subunit ribosomal RNA", at positions 29 to 523 of the family's 1533-position model. The record is from RNAcentral.
AACGAACGCUGGCGGCGUGCCUAACACAUGCAAGUCGAACGAGAAAGUCCUUCGGGAUGAGUAGAGUGGCGCACGGGUGAGUAACACAUGAGAAUCGUGACUAAUAGUGGUGGAUAACUGCGGGAAACUGCAGCUAAUACAGCAUAGUGUCUAAGGACGAAAGGGGGCCCCUUAAAAGGCUCUUGCUAAUAGAUCGGCCCAUGUCCCAUUAGCUAGAUGGCGGGGUAAAAGCCCACCAAGGUGACGAUGGGUAGCUGGUCUGAGAGGAUGAUCAGCCACACUGGAACUGAGACACGGUCCAGACUCCUACGGGAGGCAGCAGUGGGGAAUUUUGCACAAUGGGGGAAACCCUGAUGCAGCAACGCCGCGUGAGUGAAGAAGGCCCUUGGGUUGUAAAGCUCUUUCGGCCGGGAAAAAGGAUCUACGUACUAAUACCCCGUAGGUUUGAUGGUACCGGAAGAAGAAGCACCUGCUAACUACGUGCCAGCCGCCGCGGUAA